GAGUCCCGAGAAGAGACAUGUUUAUUCCAAGCCACAAAGUGGGGCAGGAAUUCACACUCCUGCCCUGUGCUGUGACAGAUGAGUGAUCCUGGGAAGGACACGGAGCACGCCGGAUCCAGGGAAGACCAGCUGCCCCAGGGCCCAGGCAGACUGCUAGUCCCAGCAGCCCAGCCCACUGAGCUGCAGAGUGACCAUGGACAGGUCACUAAGUGACUCCGGACCUGGGGUCCCGUCAGCGUGGCCUAUACCCUGCCCACCUCGCGGGGCCAGUGAGUGCCAGUCCUCCUGUCCUCCCCUCCGGAAGUUACCCUUAGGGUUCCACUGCCCACACGCCCUGUCCCCCAGCCCCAUCCUCACAGACGCCCAAUGCCAAGCCCUCACCCUGCACAUUUUACCUAACCUAAACCAGCAGGCUGGGCCCAUAGCAGCCAUCCCUCUGAUGCAUCUGAGACCCAUCUGUUAGCCAGCCAGACAUCUUAGCAGCCCAGAGCCAAGAGAGUGCCAGGAAGGAAGUGAGAGAGGUUUUGAAACCUUCAGAAUAGAUGCUGUGAAGCUUAUACAUGAAGGCCACCCGCUGACGCAUCGGUGAGCCCCAGAUCCCCCACUCAGGGCCUGUCCUGUUUUGCUUCGCCUAGAGUGUUAUUUUGUGCUGCAGCUCACAGCAAAUUAAAAACAACAACUUAACAGUGGGAGAGAGACUGCCAGAGGCGUGCAGGGCAUUGCAGGGCCAUGGGGGGCAGAGGGGGACGGCCACUGAUGGGCACACAGCACAUGGGCGUCCUGAUAACCAGGGAAAGUGGAAAGGAUGACGUAAGAGUGGCCAAAUUAGAGCGAACAACCUAGGAAUCAGGCUCCAUCAAUUUUCAGCCGAGGCCGUUCCUGAACGGCAGCUGAGGAUUCAUAUGCAAAACAAUGACCCAGAGUCACUGAGGAAAGAUCGCACCGUGCCCAUUAUGGAUUUUCUACUUAGCAUGGAUUAUGAAAUCCAGACAGGAAGAGUUUCAUCCAAAAUGGUUUGACAUUUGAGGCAGGUGCUGGCAGGCCAGGAGGAGGCCCCACUUAUGCAGGAAAUCCUCUCGGAGAACCCCCGAGACAGAGGAUGUGGUGGUGUUGUGGUUCUUACAGUAAGUGCGCACCUGUUCCGCACCUGGCUCUGGGGGCCCCCGGGAGGUCGACCAGCGUGCUGCCAGGCUGGCCGGAAAACAGCCGGGCACACGGGACAGGCGCCUUCGGCACAAGGCACGUCAAGAUUCACCCCCCUCCCUCUGAGCUGCAGAGUUCCGGGAAGGAACGACCAAGUCCAGUUGGGGAGGCGGGGCGGGCUCUCCGGGGAAGCGCAGCAGAAGCGUAGCAGGCCGAGAGGGUGGAGAGAAACCAAACAAGCUGGCCUGGCGGCCAACCCUGGCAGGGUGGGAGCUGCAGGGACAGUGUUUACAUGAAGAUACAAGUGUUGAAUAACAGCGUCGGACAGUGCAGUUUCUGAGGAGUAUCUGAACCGAGGCUGCGUUUUCAGAGUUACAGCUGCGGCAGGGCCAAGUUUCAGUUGGGGGGCCAAGUUUCAGUUGGGGGGCGACAGAAGAACUACAUCCCCCUGGACCAGCUGUUUAGAUUCGAGACCCGAGGGAUCACAGCUGGGGUUGGGGAGGAUGGCUUCAUGACGAGUCAAUAUCACCCCACCUCCUCACAUCCUCCUCCGGAAGCAGAGCCUGCGGCUACCCAAACAAGGUUCUGGAGAGUUCUCCCGUGAGCAGCUGGCCCUUGCUGGAAGACAAUAAAUGGUCUCUACUGUCUCUCAUAAGAAGCUGGUCAAGGAGGUCAGAGGAGCCUGGGGUUGGCAGGUGGAGGCAGAGGCAGCGGACGUGGGCUCACGCUCCUGUUGGCCAUCCCAGCUCACCCACCCCACGUCAUGCCCUCUCCUGAUUCUGGGUAAUUGGACACCCCAUGGCUGCCUGUUUCCCCCAUUAUAACUCCUAUCAGUUGUGUUAUAACUGCCUAUCUGUUUCUCCCGUUAGGGAUUCGUGGAAGGCAGAGUUUGUUGGAUUCAUUUCUGUCCUAGUACAUGGCACGGGGCCUGGCACACAGUAGAUCACCGUUAUAUUUUCAUCAAAUAAAUGAAUCAAU
Molecule: long non-coding RNA, 2121 nt
Organism: Leopardus geoffroyi (Geoffroy's cat)
Lineage: Eukaryota; Metazoa; Chordata; Mammalia; Carnivora; Felidae
Exons: 2
Source: RefSeq, a predicted model, not a curated record